UGCCAGCAGCCGCGGUAACACGUAAGGGGCAAGCGUUGUUCGGAUUUAUUGGGCGUAAAGGGCGUGUAGGCGGUUUGCCAAGCCUGAUGUGAAAGACCCCGGCUUAACCGGGGGAACGCGUUGGGAACUGGCAGACUAGAGUGUAAGAGGGGUAGUUGGAAUUCCAGGUGUAGGGGUGAAAUCUGUAGAUAUCUGGAAGAACACCGGUGGCGAAGGCGACUUCCUGGGCCAAUACUGACGCUGAGGCGCGAAAGCGUGGGUAGCAAACAGGAUUAGAUA
RNAcentral lists this ribosomal RNA (279 nucleotides) under uncultured bacterium. RNAcentral describes it as "partial 16S ribosomal RNA". It matches the Rfam family "Bacterial small subunit ribosomal RNA", at positions 506 to 784 of the family's 1533-position model. The record is from RNAcentral.